This 300-nucleotide signal recognition particle RNA is filed under the name Aotus nancymaae (Ma's night monkey). RNAcentral's name for it is "Metazoan signal recognition particle RNA (ENSANAG00000012417.1)". It matches the Rfam family "Metazoan signal recognition particle RNA". Rfam says of the family: The signal recognition particle (SRP) is a universally conserved ribonucleoprotein. It is involved in the co-translational targeting of proteins to membranes. The eukaryotic SRP consists of a 300-nucleotide 7S RNA and six proteins: SRPs 72, 68, 54, 19, 14, and 9. Lineage: Eukaryota; Metazoa; Chordata; Mammalia; Primates; Aotidae. The record is from RNAcentral.
GCUGGGUAUGGUUGCACAUGCCUGUAGUCCCAGCUACUCAGGAGGCUGAGGUGGGAGGAUUGCUUGAGCCCAGGAGUUCUGGGCUGUAGUGCGCUAUGCCGAUCGGGUGUCUGCACUAAGUUUGGCAUCAAUAUGGUGACCUUCUGGGAGUGGGAGACCACCAGCUUGCCUAAGGAGGGGUGAACUGGCCCAAGUUGGAAAUGGAGCAGGUCAGAAACCUCUGUGCUGAUCAGUAGUGGGAUCAUGCCUGUGAAUAGCCACUGCACUCCAGCCUGGGCAACAUAACGAGACUCCAUCUCU